Homo sapiens (human) is the source of this 1782-nucleotide long non-coding RNA. NCBI's taxonomy places the organism in Eukaryota, Metazoa, Chordata, Mammalia, Primates, Hominidae. The record is from Ensembl.
UCUGCGGCAUGGUAUUUAAUCGUCUCCCCGGGGAGAUUCGUUCUCAUUUUUCUACUGCUCGUGGAUUUACGCGCACGUUGGAACCGAAGAGAGCUCUGUUGUUGCAAUGUUCAGCCCACAAGAGCUUACUGGUGAAGGAAUGGGACAAGACCCAUCUUUAUGCAAAGCCAGCGUUACAGUAAUGUUCCAGCAUCUCAUAAUCUAUCCUGGGGAAUUCAGCUGCCUCCCAGGGUGAAUACAGGUAUUCCUGAUGACAGUCUGCCUCUAUCUUACAGUAAGUUGUUUUUCGAAUUCUAUGGGCCUAUUAUCUAAUAGAUAACUUAGCCAUUUUGAUAUUUGUUACCAAAGCCUGCUUAACCCAUAAAGUUUUCUGGUUCCUCUUGUUCUCUGUAGUGAUGUUUCUAGAUAGAUGCCCACUGAUAUAUGCCCCUUUUUUCUCAGAUAGAUGCCCACUGAUCUGCCCAGGGUCAGACGAAUGCUUGUCAGUUGUAGCUUUCCAGGAUUCUGCUCCAAUGAGGAGGAAACAUCCUGCCUUACCCCUGUUUUAGCCUGGGAACCAGUAAUUGUGAACUCACCAGGGUUAACAUGAAGAGGGCAUGAGAGCUUAUUCCAUAAGGAAUUGUCUGAGACAUUUGGUUACCUUUUCUUAGUUUGUCCAUUAGCAACCGUAACUAAAAUAGUUUUGGCUGUUUGGGAUAAUUAGCUAAUUGAAUGAUUUUUUGAUUCAGGAGCAGCUUGUUGCUAUAUACCAUUGAAAAGCCUUCAGAGCUGAGAGGUUAGUUGAUAUUUUUUGUUCCUUACAGCUUAUGCCACCAAGUAGGCAGUUUCUAUGAUGAAUCAAACUAGCUCACUAUGACCGACAGUGAAAAUACAUGAACACCUGAGAAACUGGAGAACGCAGGGAGUGGGGGGUAACCAUGUCUGAGGAAUCUUUCACCCACAGCUUUGUUUUUCUCUAGGUACUACUAACCAAUAACCUGCUUGGCUCAAAGGGCCAGCACCUUCUCUCUAAAGCCCAAGAGGAGUUUGAGGAAAACUAGGUGUCUGUGUUCACUCCAGGCUGAAGUUACAGGUCUGAGCAAAUAAGGUGUAUAAAAAAUGGAAUCUGUCUUGGAGGACAUCAGAAGGUGAAUUUUCCAAGUUCUUGGACAACCUAGCUGUUGAAAAGCUUUCUGGGUUUGGGGGGUAUUUCAGAUGUACCUUAAAGUGUUAGCAGACACAGAUUAAGACACUGGGAGCCAAUGAAACAGCAGUUGAGGGUUUGCUGUGUAUCACAUUUCUGUAUUUUAUCACCCCCUUCCUGCAACAUUAUUUAUCUGGAAUCUACCUGCCCUUUUGUUUUUUAGAUACAAGGGCUUGGUUUUGUUACCCAGGCUGGUUUCAAGGCCAUAGCUUUAAGAGAUCCUCUCACCACAGAUUUCCAAAGUGCUGGGAUUGCAGGUGUGAUUCAUGGCACCCAGACUUUGCUGCCUUUCUUACAUGAUCCAGGCCCAGAACCCAAACUCAGGCACUGUAUAGAUGACCACUUUCGUAAACUACUGACCUAGCUUGUUGCCAAUUGUUGAUUGAACUUCCCAUAACUCCACUUCGUGUCUGUUCCUCUGUAUACAGCCACCUUCUGUUCCCGUCAUGAGCCUUUAGGUCUCCAUUUGCAUAUUGCAAAUACUAUGUUCCAUGUAGGUAGCUCAUUCAGGGCCUUGCUCUUCACUUCAAAAAAGGUUCCCUUGAGGACUGGCUGUCAAUUUGUGUUGCUGUGUUGGUUGUUGAUGAAAAUAAUAAAAU